RNA transcript from Notolabrus celidotus (New Zealand spotty), 2617 nucleotides. RefSeq lists it as uncharacterized. The record is from RefSeq and is a predicted model, not a curated record. Lineage: Eukaryota; Metazoa; Chordata; Actinopteri; Labriformes; Labridae. The transcript has 12 exons.
CGAAGCAGCUCCUUAGUCCGGUCUACUUCCGGGUUGAAGACACGCCUCUUCCGGUCUGUGAACCAGCGUGAUCCACAUCAACAAACGGAGCAGGUCUCUUGGAGUUCGGGUUAGGGUCUUAAAGGUGAAUAGUCCCGGUCUGUGGAGAUCCCGGUAACCCGGUCCGUUGGUUGCCAUGGUGAAGUGUGUUGUUUCCGGGUGUCCGAACCGUGUGAGGAACCUUCACGGGACCAUGAACCGACCCAAGACCUUCUUCAGCUUCCCCACGGACCCGACCCGAGUCAAGGUAUGGCUGGCCGCUCUGAGGGAGACGGACAAGCUGGACUCCACAGAGCAUCAUUUAAUCUGUGAAGACCACUUCCUGCCCAACGACAUCACCACAGACGGCGUCAAAAGUGACGCCAUCCCCAUCAUGUCCCCCUACCUGGACGGGUCCAUGGGCAUGAUCAGCUCCUGGGAGGCCGAUCCACAGGAGGAAGAGGAUCAGUGGGAGGAAGGAGAUGAUGAUGGAGAGGAUGAGGAGGAUGAGUUUGAAGGUGGAUAUGAUGCUCCUGCUUUUGCUAAGCCUUCUGCACCAGAACUUUCUACACCACAACUUCCUGCACCAGAACUUCCUACACUACAACUUCCUGCACCAGAACCUCCUACACUACAACUUCCUGCACCAGAACCUCCUACACUACAACUUCCUGCACCAGAACCUCCUACACUACAACUUCCUGCACCAGAACCUCCUGCAUCAGAACUUCCUGCACCACAACAUCCUACACUACAACUUCCUGCACCAGCUGUGGCUCCACCUCCUAAACUGGAUCCACCUCCUGCCAUCAGGGCACCAGUGAAGGAUCCAGACACCAAGGAGACACCAGGGACCAAGAGCCCAGGCCUCAAGCAGCAAGUGAAGCGAGUCAGGAGGGAGAGACCUGUCUCAGGCGUACCCGUCGCGCUGCGUUUCCUGGAGUUGCUGCAGUCGCUCCCCGGCUCCAUGCUGGACAUCAGGAAGGUUUGCACGAUGCUGCAGACCUGCAAGCGCCGCAUCUCUGACAUCAGCAGCGUGCUGGAGGGCGUCAACCUGGUGGAGAAGAUGAGGAACAGGGUCAGAUGGAUCGGAGGCAGCGACUGCUCCAGCCCUCUGGCCCUGCUGACCCUCCGUACAGAGAUCGAGGACCUGAAGGUGAUGGAGGAGAAGCUGAACAGCCUCAUUAAGACCUGCUCCCAGCAGCUGUUUGACAUGACGGACGACAGGGAGGACGCUGCCCUGGCCUACGUGACGCUGCAGGACAUCAGCAGCCUGGAAGCCUUCAGAGAGCAGACGCUGAUGGUGGUCAAAGCUCCUGAUGAAACCACGCUGAAGGUUCCCGCUCCCUCAGAGGACUGGAUCCAGGUCCAUCUGAAGAGUGGGAGCGGUCCCGUCACGGUGCUGACCUGUGACCCCGGGUCUGAAGACGGGGCAGCAGCAGAGAGGAGCGGCUGCUUCUUACCUCUGGAGGAGAGUCAGAUCAACACGUCUGCUCUGCACGGAGAUUUAUCAUGAGCCGCCUUUUAUCAUCACAGGUCUGUGGAACACCCUGAAGGUCUGAGGGCGGCACAGAGUCAACAUCUUUAAAGACAAACUCAAGACCCACCUUUUAGUCUCACUUUAAACUGAGUGUCCUCCAGCUGACCACCAGAGGGCGCCGCUGAUCCAUGAACGUCACACAGGUCUGGAACAACCUGCAGACGCCUGAAGAGAUCAGAUCCAGGGACCAGGAGCGUCUGAUCCGAUCACCGCUCAGACCAUGAGACUCUGACAGACUGAGGUCAGAUACAUCAGGAGACACACACUCAGCUGAUCUCAACAUUUUAAAAACAUCAGACACAAAGUGAGGAGAGGAAACGAGGGAGUCAUGAUCGUCUGGAUCCGUCAGCUCUCUGAAGAAGAAACCCAGAGGACGAUGAAGACGAUGAGGACGAUGAAGACGAGCUCAAAGUAGAGCAUGGACUAAAAUAAACUUCUUCACGUUCAGACUUUAUUAUUUUACUUUUUUAUCAAACUCAGGUUUUAAAAUGUUGAUUUGUUUUAGCUGCUCCUGAAUGAUGUCAGUCCCUCUAACUCAAUCACAGCGUCUUAUUAAACUAUGCAUUACUGUGUUUACUUUAACAUCACAAACACUUUAGAGACCAAGAAACACCAGAACAAAUCUCCAUCUUUAAAAACAGAGAAACACGUCUGAAUAUUUAUCUAAAGGUUCAAACAGAGAGAGGAGAUCUGUGUCAUGAAGACGAUCAGGGGGAGAUUCACUUUCAGAGGAUGAAGAAUAAUUCACUUUGUUUCUUUAUUCUUAUCUCUUUUUAUCUCUUCUUAUUCUUGUUCUCCUGUUCAUGAGUUCCAAUCUGAUCCGUUCAGUUCACAGAAACCGAAGUAAGAGUGUGUUUGAUGAACUGGUGAAUGAAGCGCGUUCACACUCGUCACUGACUUGUUGUCUUUAUGUUUCUACAGAGACGUGAAUGUUCUCAUGUAUAGCUUCAGUUCACUGCAGAGAGGAUUCCUGUCUUUUAUUGAACUCCACUCUUCAUGUUCUGAUUCUUUGACUUCCUGUUUCUUCUUCUUCUUGGAUAUAAAGAUGUUUCACUCUGA